Molecule: long non-coding RNA, 255 nt
Filed under: Mytilus galloprovincialis (Mediterranean mussel)
Lineage: Eukaryota; Metazoa; Mollusca; Bivalvia; Mytilida; Mytilidae
Source: RNAcentral
CUAUGAUGAGUUUAUUUAUGAUACACUUUUGUUCGGUCACUCUCCUUAUUGUUUACUUUAUUGUAUUCAACAAUGCAUUGAACCGAUUUUUAUAGAUAGUUGAAGAUGUAAUCUUUUAAGUAUGUCAAAAAGUUUGCUUCGUGGGUGCAUCACUGUUGUAACAGUAUCUUUCAUCGAUAACAUUUAUUCGGUUUGCAUAGCAUCCUAGCCUCCCGUUCCUCUAGGAAAUGCAGACAACUUAAUACACAAUAACAC